UCGCAGGCUGNAACCCGCCUGCGUGAAGUUGGAAUCGCUAGUAAUCGCGGAUCAGCAUGCCGCGGUGAAUACGUUCCCGGGUCUUGUACACACCGCCCGUCACACCAUGGGAGCCGGUAAUACCCGAAGUCAGUAGUUUAACCCUUGUGGAGGACGCUGCCGAAGGUAGGAUUGGCGACUGGGGUGAAGUCGUAACAAGGUAGC
This 204-nucleotide ribosomal RNA is filed under the name uncultured bacterium. RNAcentral describes it as "partial 16S ribosomal RNA". It matches the Rfam family "Bacterial small subunit ribosomal RNA", at positions 1298 to 1500 of the family's 1533-position model. The record is from RNAcentral.